GAGUUUGAUCGUGGCUCAGAUUGAACGCUGGCGGCAUGCCUUACACAUGCAAGUCGAACGGCAGCACGGGAGCUUGCUCCUGGUGGCGAGUGGCGAACGGGUGAGUAAUGCAUCGGAACGUAUCCUGGAGUGGGGGGAUAACGUAGCGAAAGUUACGCUAAUACCGCAUAUUCUGUGAGCAGGAAAGCGGGGGACCUUCGGGCCUCGCGCUCUUGGAGCGGCCGAUGUCGGAUUAGCUAGUUGGUGAGGUAAAGGCUCACCAAGGCGACGAUCCGUAGCAGGUCUGAGAGGAUGAUCUGCCACACUGGAACUGAGACACGGUCCAGACUCCUACGGGAGGCAGCAGUGGGGAAUUUGGACAAUGGGGGCAACCCUGAUCCAGCCAUGCCGCGUGAGUGAAGAAGGCC
This 407-nucleotide ribosomal RNA is filed under the name bacterium enrichment culture clone ALO1_GLFRUDD03GJSXE. RNAcentral's name for it is "bacterial SSU rRNA". It matches the Rfam family "Bacterial small subunit ribosomal RNA", at positions 9 to 416 of the family's 1533-position model. The record is from RNAcentral.